RNAcentral lists this ribosomal RNA (289 nucleotides) under uncultured bacterium. Its description in RNAcentral is "partial 16S ribosomal RNA". It matches the Rfam family "Bacterial small subunit ribosomal RNA", at positions 333 to 640 of the family's 1533-position model. The record is from RNAcentral.
AUAGCCUACGGGGCGCAGCAGUGGGGAAUAUUGCACAAUGGGGGAAACCCUGAUGCAGCGACGCCGCGUGAAGGAAGAAGUGUUUCGGUAUGUAAACUUCUAUCAGCAGGGAAGGAAAUGACGGUACCUGACUAAGAAGCCCCGGCUAACUACGUGCCAGCAGCCGCGGUAAUACGUAGGGGGCAAGCGUUAUCCGGAUUUACUGGGUGUAAAGGGAGCGUAGGCGGUGCAGCAAGUCAGAAGUGAAAGCCCGGGGCUCAACUCCGGGACUGCUUUUGAAACUGUUGAA